GAGUUUGAUCAUGGCUCAGGACGAACGCUGGCGGCGUGCCUAAUACAUGCAAGUCGAGCGAGCGGAACUAACAGAUUUACUUCGGUAAUGACGUUAGGAAAGCGAGCGGCGGAUGGGUGAGUAACACGUGGGGAACCUGCCCCAUAGUCUGGGAUACCACUUGGAAACAGGUGCUAAUACCGGAUAAGAAAGCAGAUCGCAUGAUCAGCUUUAAAAGGCGCGUAAGCUGUCGCUAUGGGAUGGCCCCGGCGCAUUAGCUAGUUGGUAAGGUAAAGGCUUACCAAGGCGAUGAUGCACAGCCGAGUUGAGGACUGAUCGGCCACAUUGGGACUGAGACAC
RNAcentral lists this ribosomal RNA (339 nucleotides) under uncultured bacterium. RNAcentral's name for it is "bacterial SSU rRNA". It matches the Rfam family "Bacterial small subunit ribosomal RNA", at positions 9 to 327 of the family's 1533-position model. The record is from RNAcentral.